CCUACGGGAGGCAGCAGUCGAGAAUCAUUCACAAUGGGGGAAACCCUGAUGGGGCGACGCCGCGUGGGGGAAUGAAGGUCUUCGGAUUGUAAACCCCUGUCAUGUGGGAGCAAAUUAAAAAGAUAGUACCACAAGAGGAAGAGACGGCUAACUCUGUGCCAGCAGCCGCGGUAAUACAGAGGUCUCAAGCGUUGUUCGGAAUCACUGGGCGUAAAGCGUGCGUAGGCUGUUUCGUAAGUCGUGUGUGAAAGGCGCGGGCUCAACCCGCGGACGGCACAUGAUACUGCGAGACUAGAGUAAUGGAGGGGGAGCCGGAAUUCUCGGUGUAGCAGUGAAAUGCGUAGAUAUCGGGAGGAACACUCGUGGCGAAGGCGGGUUCCUGGACAUUAACUGACGCUGAGGCACGAAGGCCAGGGGAGCGAAAAGGAUUAGAUACCCUUGUAGUC
Molecule: ribosomal RNA, 446 nt
Filed under: uncultured bacterium
Lineage: Bacteria
Description: partial 16S ribosomal RNA
Rfam family: Bacterial small subunit ribosomal RNA
Source: RNAcentral